UAAUGAUGAUAAUGGAAAUUCCUGUGCAUACCCUUGAAUCUUUCUAAAGUUUGGUAAAGAUUUUCUUAAUCUUUCUGCCUGAAACUAAGAAUCUUACUUCUCAAACA
Capsicum annuum is the source of this 107-nucleotide non-coding RNA. The record is from Rfam. NCBI's taxonomy places the organism in Eukaryota, Viridiplantae, Streptophyta, Magnoliopsida, Solanales, Solanaceae.